GCGGUAAUACAGAGGGUGCAAGCGUUAAUCGGAAUUACUGGGCGUAAAGCGCGCGUAGGUGGUUCGUUAAGUUGGAUGUGAAAUCCCCGGGCUCAACCUGGGAACUGCAUUCAAAACUGUCGAGCUAGAGUAUGGUAGAGGGUGGUGGAAUUUCCUGUGUAGCGGUGAAAUGCGUAGAUAUAGGAAGGAACACCAGUGGCGAAGGCGACCACCUGGACUGAUACUGACACUGAGGUGCGAAAGCGUGGGGAGCAAACAGGAUUA
RNAcentral lists this ribosomal RNA (264 nucleotides) under Pseudomonas helmanticensis. RNAcentral describes it as "partial 16S ribosomal RNA". It matches the Rfam family "Bacterial small subunit ribosomal RNA", at positions 517 to 780 of the family's 1533-position model. Lineage: Bacteria; Pseudomonadati; Pseudomonadota; Gammaproteobacteria; Pseudomonadales; Pseudomonadaceae. RNAcentral also lists the same sequence under 1 other name. The record is from RNAcentral.